Long non-coding RNA from Peromyscus californicus insignis, 1467 nucleotides. RefSeq lists it as uncharacterized. NCBI's taxonomy places the organism in Eukaryota, Metazoa, Chordata, Mammalia, Rodentia, Cricetidae. The record is from RefSeq and is a predicted model, not a curated record. The transcript is spliced from 3 exons.
AGGACUGGGCUGGGUUUGGGAAUUAACUUGAAAUGUUAAUUCUGUAAAUAUCUGAAGUGGUCUGAGCUUUUAUGCAAGGACAGGUCUUUUUACUACGCAACUUGGUCUCUGAGGAUUAACGCUGGCUUCUGCUCAGCACCAGAAGUCCAUUUCUGGGGUUCACCAUCUGCAGCUUAGACCCCAGAAGGGAGCCGCUGGCCAAACUGGCCUUAGAACAAGGAAACCAGCUGACGAUGAGUUGAAAGCCCUGGAACUGUGAGCUGAAAUAAAAAUGUCCACCUUUUAAGAAGUUUGUCUCAGUGGAACCUGAGCCUCUUUUCCUUGAAGAGGAUUUGAAGAAAUGGGGAAGCCAUCUCAUGAACUGUAUGAACAAAGGUAGAAACUUAUGGAUGACCCAGGUCAGCUUGGGAAACAGUAAAUGAGAAAACUUAUGGAUGAUCAACAGUGUUUUCCAUUUUUCAGAUUACUUACUCAGAUUGUAUCCUGAGCAAGAACAAUUUCCUGUGGUUUAUAAAUAGGCCCUGGCUAUUUUAGUAAACUGCUGUGUUGAUGACCCUUCGUGCAAUGUUCCAUGGAGACUUCAGGUUUCCAGGAGGCAGAAGAAAAUGUGUAAAUAUAUGAGAAAUGAUCCAGAACAUGAAGCCCCACCAAUAAAAGCCAUUGCAAAGUUUGUGAGGAAGGUCUGUCAUAACCAGGUACUCAUCGUCCCCACCCUUCCUACUUCCUCCUGGUUACUUUGUGGAAUACCCAAGGCCUUGGGACAGAAUAGACUAGAAGUAGGGAUAAGUACAAGAGCUGAGCUCAUUUGCCUGAACUCACAGAGAGAGUGGUGCCAGGAUUACAAUUCAGCUUUCAAAGUUCUUUCAAUCCAUGCUCAAACACAGAAUUUCUAUCUACAUCCAUAACUUAAGAAACCAACAGAACUGCAAAGAACUGAAAUUCCCACAUUUUCUAGGAUGGGAGCCUUUUUGCUAUGGCUGAGGAUCCCUAUUGCCUACACUUGAGGAACAUUCCAAACCAUUUAUACACAUUAGCUGGUGUAGUACAGAAAGGAGAUAUUUCUCUCCGUAGUUAAGGGGUCAAGUUAAAAUAGAUCUGUGUUUUGUUUGCAAUUGGCACUAGGCUCAGUUUUUCUGAACUCUUGUGUCUUCCAGUCCAUUCACCAACAUUUGAGUGGCUACGUAUUGUUCAUUAUGGCCUCAGAAAGAUUUUAAAUGAAUAAGCAUAUUUUAUUUGUAUGUUUCUUUUGGGUUCCUGCUAAUGUAGAUGUAAAGCAAAAAGGAACUGAUGAUAUCAUACCUCCCAAUCUUUUGUUUGUUUGUUUGUUUUUUGUUUGUUUUUUCGAGACAGGGUUUCUCUGUGUAGCUUUGUGCCUGCCGAGUGCUGGGAUUAAAGGUAUGUGCCACCACCGCCCGGCUAUACCUCCCAAUCUUUUUUUUUUUAAUUUUUUUUUUAUUUUGCAAUACA